RNAcentral lists this long non-coding RNA (505 nucleotides) under Anser brachyrhynchus (Pink-footed goose). RNAcentral describes it as "lncRNA (ENSABRG00000007637.1)". Lineage: Eukaryota; Metazoa; Chordata; Aves; Anseriformes; Anatidae. The record is from RNAcentral.
GAACUUCAGUCUCUUCUCUAUAAUCAGACAAACAUCAAAAUCACUGCAGUGGAUAAGAGCUUUCAGUAGAUCUAGAGCUGAAUAACACCAGUUCAUAUACCAUCAGCAUCCUACCAUCAUUUGGUUUCUACAACGUCUAUGACAACUUCUUUCACUCUAAAAUUACAAUUAUUAGAGCCAGGAAGGGGGAACAGCUUUUCGGUUUCACUAAAACUUUCAGAUUUCAAAUUCUUCCUUUCUGCACAAAGAAAAAAGCAAUGCCUUGCAGAGCUUCCAGGGAGGUAGCAGAUCUCUGGAACAGCCCACUGCUGAAGAAACUCACUAAGACUGUUCCAAUAAACACUCAUUACCAAUAUCAAGUUGGGCAGGUAACCUGUGAUUCAGUGUUUGCUGAAUUUUAGAUGUCCAAAUGGUUUCAGGUUCUUCCAAAUAUAGAUUAGACUGCCCACUAUUAAUAUACUAAGAUUUAACUAAAAAAAAAUAAAAAAAUAAAUAAACAUUCCCA